Molecule: ribosomal RNA, 690 nt
Filed under: uncultured bacterium
Lineage: Bacteria
Description: bacterial SSU rRNA
Rfam family: Bacterial small subunit ribosomal RNA
Source: RNAcentral
UGUGCUAAUACGGUAUAAGACCACACGGAGGCAUCUCUGAGGGGUAAAAGCUGAGGCGGUACAGGAGGGGCUCGCGGCCCAUUAGAUAGUUGGUGAGGUAACGGCCCACCAAGUCGACGAUGGGUAGCCGACCUGAGAGGGUGAUCGGCCACAUUGGAACUGAGAUACGGUCCAAACUCCUACGGGAGGCAGCAGUGGGGAAUAUUGGGCAAUGGAGGCAACUCUGACCCAGCAACGCCGCGUGAAUGAAGAAGGCCUUCGGGUUGUAAAGUUCUUUAAUGGGGAACGAAGAAAGUGACGGUACCCCAAGAAUAAGCCACGGCUAACUACGUGCCAGCAGCCGCGGUAAUACGUAGGUGGCAAGCGUUGUCCGGAAUGACUGGGCGUAAAGGGAGCGUAGGCGGCGCAACAAGUUAGGAGUGAAAUCCCGGGGCUUAACUCCGGAACUGCUUUUAAAACUGUUGUGCUUGAGUGAUGGAGAGGAAAGCGGAAUUCCUAGUGUAGCGGUGGAAUGCGUAGAUAUUAGGAGGAACACCAGAGGCGAAGGCGGCUUUCUGGACAUUAACUGACGCUGAGGCUCGAAAGCGUGGGGAGCAAACAGGAUUAGAUACCCUGGUAGUCCACGCCGUAAACGAUGGAUACUAGAUGCGGGAGGUAUCGACUCCUUCCGUGUCGUCGCAAACGCAGUAA